AUUGAAUGCUGGCGGCAGGCCUAACACAUGCAAGUCGAACGGUAACAGGAAGAAGCUUGCUUCUUUGCUGACGAGUGGCGGACGGGGGAGUAAUGUCUGGGAAACUGCCUGAUGGAGGGGGAUAACUACUGGAAACGGUAGCUAAUACCGCAUAACGUCGCAAGACCAAAGAGGGGGACCUUCGGGCCUCUUGCCAUCGGAUGUGCCCAGAUGGGAUUAGCUAGUAGGUGGGGUAACGGCUCACCUAGGCGACGAUCCCUAGCUGGUCUGAGAGGAUGACCAGCCACACUGGAACUGAGACACGGUCCAGACUCCUACGGGAGGCAGCAGUGGGGAAUAUUGCACAAUGGGCGCAAGCCUGAUGCAGCCAUGCCGCGUGUAUGAAGAAGGCCUUCGGGUUGUAAAGUACUUUCAGCGGGGAGGAAGGGAGUAAAGUUAAUACCUUUGCUCAUUGACGUUACCCGCAGAAGAAGCACCGGCUAACUCCGUG
This 490-nucleotide ribosomal RNA is filed under the name uncultured bacterium. RNAcentral's name for it is "partial 16S ribosomal RNA". It matches the Rfam family "Bacterial small subunit ribosomal RNA", at positions 30 to 507 of the family's 1533-position model. The record is from RNAcentral.